This 253-nucleotide ribosomal RNA is filed under the name uncultured bacterium. RNAcentral's name for it is "partial 16S ribosomal RNA". It matches the Rfam family "Bacterial small subunit ribosomal RNA", at positions 524 to 776 of the family's 1533-position model. The record is from RNAcentral.
UACGUAGGGCGCAAGCGUUGUCCGGAUUUAUUGGGCGUAAAGAGCUCGUAGGCGGUCUGUCGCGUCGGCUGUGAAACCCCGAGGCUCAACCUCGGGCCUGCAGUCGAUACGGGCAGACUAGAGUGUGGUAGGGGAGACUGGAAUUCCUGGUGUAGCGGUGAAAUGCGCAGAUAUCAGGAGGAACACCGGUGGCGAAGGCGACUCACUGGCCCGAUACUGACGCUGAGGCGCGAAAGCGUGGGGAGCAAACAGG